CCCUGGUAGUCCAUGCCGUAAACGUUGGGCGCUAGAUGUAGGGACCUUUCCACGGUUUCUGUGUCGUAGCUAACGCAUUAAGCGCCCCGCCUGGGGAGUACGGCCGCAAGGCUAAAACUCAAAGGAAUUGACGGGGGCCCGCACAAGCGGCGGAGCAUGCGGAUUAAUUCGAUGCAACGCGAAGAACCUUACCAAGGCUUGACAUACACCGGAAACGGCCAGAGAUGGUCGCCCCCUUGUGGUCGGUGUACAGGUGGUGCAUGGUUGUCGUCAGCUCGUGUCGUGAGAUGUUGGGUUAAGUCCCGCAACGAGCGCAACCCUCGUUCUAUGUUGCCAGCGGGUUAUGCCGGGGACUCAUAGGAGACUGCCGGGGUCAACUCGGAGGAAGGUGGGGAUGACGUCAAAUCAUCAUGCCCCUUAUGUCUUGGGCUUCACGCAUGCUACAAUGGCCGGUACAAAGGGCUGCGAUACCGUAAGGUGGAGCGAAUCCCAAAAAGCCGGUCUCAGUUCGGAUUGAGGUCUGCAACUCGACCUCAUGAAGUCGGAGUCGCUAGUAAUCGCAGAUCAGCAACGCUGCGGUGAAUACGUUCCCGGGCCUUGUACACACCGCCCGUCAAGUCAUGAAAGUCGGUAACACCCGAAGCCGGUGGCCUAACCCUUGUGGAAGGAGCCGUCGAAGGUGGGAUCGGUGAUUAGGACUAAGUCGUACCAAAGGGUAACA
This 721-nucleotide ribosomal RNA is filed under the name Curtobacterium sp. Its description in RNAcentral is "bacterial SSU rRNA". It matches the Rfam family "Bacterial small subunit ribosomal RNA", at positions 785 to 1501 of the family's 1533-position model. The record is from RNAcentral. Lineage: Bacteria; Bacillati; Actinomycetota; Actinomycetes; Micrococcales; Microbacteriaceae.